GAUGUUCCCCCAAUCCACUUCUCUUGCCAAAAUUCAUAGUUGUACCAUUCCCCAACACACUAUUAAUAUAGGAUGAAAACAACCCGAUGUUGUAACACCCAAACCCCUUAACGCGAAUUUAUUGAAUAUAAAAAAAUAAAACACUUAAGAAAAUUAAGGCGUCACGAUUAUAAUAUAAAACCACAGCACAAACACGUCAUGCUAGCACAGCGGAAAUUAAAAGCAAAUAUAGUUCAUUGUGCAUAUCAUACAAUAACUAUAUUGUUCACAUAAUAUCCCUAGACUCUAGGCCAUAUCAACAACAAGGAUAUUAUGUUUACAACAAAAAAUAAGGAUUAGCA
Molecule: long non-coding RNA, 341 nt
Filed under: Trifolium pratense (red clover)
Lineage: Eukaryota; Viridiplantae; Streptophyta; Magnoliopsida; Fabales; Fabaceae
Description: long non-coding RNA (TPRA_LNC013200)
Source: RNAcentral